GAUGAACGCUAGCGGCAGGCUUAACACAUGCAAGUCGAGGGGCAGCACGUCUUCGGAUGGUGGCGACCGGCGCACGGGUGAGUAACGCGUAUGCAAUCUACCUUUUACAGGGGCAUAGCCCGGGGAAACCCGGAUUAAUAUCCUAUAGUACCAUUAUAUAGCAUUAUAUUAUGGUUAAAGUUUCAGCGGUAAAAGAUGAGCAUGCGUCCUAUUAGCUUGAUGGUAAGGUAACGGCUUACCAUGGCUAUGAUAGGUAGGGGUCCUGAGAGGGAGACCCCCCACACUGGUACUGAGACACGGACCAGACUCCUACGGGAGGCAGCAGUGAGGAAUAUUGGACAAUGGGCGCAAGCCUGAUCCAGCCAUGCCGCGUGCAGGAAGACGGCCCUAUGGGUUGUAAACUGCUUUUAUACGGGAAGAAACACCCCUUCGUGAAGGGACUUGACGGUACCGUAUGAAUAAGGAUCGGCUAACUCCGUGCCAGCAGCCGCGGUAAUACGGAGG
This 504-nucleotide ribosomal RNA is filed under the name uncultured bacterium. RNAcentral's name for it is "bacterial SSU rRNA". It matches the Rfam family "Bacterial small subunit ribosomal RNA", at positions 28 to 531 of the family's 1533-position model. The record is from RNAcentral.